This 540-nucleotide ribosomal RNA is filed under the name uncultured bacterium. RNAcentral's name for it is "bacterial SSU rRNA". It matches the Rfam family "Bacterial small subunit ribosomal RNA", at positions 389 to 944 of the family's 1533-position model. The record is from RNAcentral.
GGAUCACGCCGCGUGAGGGAUGAAGGCCUCUGGGCUGUAAACCUCUUUUAUCAAGGAAGAAGAUUGACGGUACUUGAUGAAUAAGCCACGGCUAAUUCCGUGCCAGCAGCCGCGGUAAUACGGGAGUGGCAAGCGUUAUCCGGAAUUAUUGGGCGUAAAGCGUCCGCAGGCGGUCUUGUAAGUCUGUCGUUAAAGCGUGGAGCUUAACUCCAUUUGAGCGAUGGAAACUGCAAGACUAGAGUGUGGUAGGGGCAGAGGGAAUUCCCGGUGUAGCGGUGAAAUGCGUAGAUAUCGGGAAGAACACCAGUGGCGAAGGCGCUCUGCUGGGCCAUAACUGACGCUCAUGGACGAAAGCCAGGGGAGCGAAAGGGAUUAGAUACCCCUGUAGUCCUGGCCGUAAACGAUGAACACUAGGUGUCGGGGGAAUCGACCCCCUCGGUGUCGUAGCCAACGCGUUAAGUGUUCCGACUGGGGAGUACGCACGCAAGUGUGAAACUCAAAGGAAUUGACGGUGGCCCGCACAAGCGGUGGAGUAUGUGG